ACGCAGGCGGCCGUUGUUUGUGUGCGCGCGCGGUCAACGGCAGAGCAUCUCAUGAGAUCCGUCGACGUGAUCGCGUGCAGUUCGCGGUGAGUUGGGUCAGUUCGUUGGUGUUCGUUGAAAUCGUGUCUCGGCCGGAGAUGGUUGUGCGUGCAGCGUGUCGCGUUGUUUGUGAAUGUGAUUGAUGUGAGGGAAACCCGUACGAGCGAGCCACAGUGUGUGAGACCGUGCGUCGUCCAGCGUCCGUCGAGUGGCGGUAGGUUGUAGGUGUGUUUUUCGCACUAGAUUUACAUGCUCCGAUCUCGAACGGUGCACAGGUCGGGCGAUCCUCUCGAGAAAGGGAGGCUGCGAACAUAAUGAUAAUGGCAAUAAUCGUAGUAGGCAUUGAUUGAACGAGCGUUGCGUUAGACGGCUUGCGCGAGAGCAAUUUGGUGGUUGGUCCGUCUUCCAGUCCCAGAGUCUGAGCAGGGCCCCGUGUCGUGUCGUGUUGUGUUCGUUCCGUACGUGUGCCGUACGGGAGACAGCCAGAGUGUGUUGUGUGUGUGUGAGGCAUUGUGUGCGCCGUGUUCGUGUGAGUGUUGAGCUGCGCGUAAUUCUUGUCGAUCGCGCGCGCGGCUGGUAAGUGGAAAAGUGCGAAAGAGCUAAGAUAGUAGAAAGGAAGGGGAAAGGGUAGGAAGAGAGAAGGGCGGAAGGGGGAGUGUGGGAGGUGGGAGGGAGUGUGUAGCAACUUCGGAGUACAGCGGCGGAUUCGAAGAUCGCAGAAGCAGAGUUCAAAGCAUUAUCAGAACCCGUCAUCGUCAUCAUCAUCACCAUCAUCGUCAGUGCGAGUGAGCAGCAAUAGCGAAGAGUGAACACAGACAGAGAGAGAGAGAGAGAGAGUGCUCGUCAAGGAGUGAGCGAGAAGGGUUGAAGAAAAGGUUUUGGAAAGGGAAUAGUGUGUGUGAGAGUGCGUGUGUAUGGAAGAGGAAGAAGAGGAAAACGACGAGGUGGCACGAAAAGGGAAGUCGAAAACAGAGCACAACAGCACAACAGCGACAACAAAGCAGCGCACAUGCAAACGAGAAACAGACGAGAAACAGUAGGCUGUGCUGAAGUGUGUGUGUUGCGGCGAGUAGAAGAGUGAGCGAGAAGGCGAUAGUGUGGUGUUUUGGGUUGUGUGUUGAUAGCGCGUUGUUGAUGCGUAGAAGUGUUUUGGAAGAAGAGAAGAACCGAACAAGAGUCAGAAGAAGGGAACAGUGUAGGAAGAUAAGAAAGAGAAAGAAGGAAAGGUAGAGAGGAAGAGAAGCACGGAAGAACGACUCGAAACGUCAGAAGGCGCUAGAGAGUGAGUGAGUGUGCGUAACGGAACGAUCGUGAGUGAAAGAGAGAGCGAGAAGGUGUUUGACAGUACGGAACAGAUCAAACACAAUGUGAGAGAGAGAGAGAGAGAGAGAGCAACAACGAUCAGCAGGCCGACCGUGCGAUGCAGUGAGCAACGGAGAGCGAAUAAACGAGGUGGCGAUACUGUUGUUGAGCAGUGGUGUUGUUACGGUUGGGCAGUUGGUUAGCAGAAAGCUGGCCGGUUCCGUCGAAUGACUCGUGCCGAGAUGCUCGAUGCACGGACACGAGGCAGUAAUGUCUUCGGCACCGUCCGAAAUGCUGUAAUCCGAUCGGCGGAUGCUACUGUCGGAGAUGACUUCCAUCAGCGCAUCAUCGCUGUACCUAGGCCUACCGAUGGUACCGAUGUUGCUCGAGCAUGGCUCCACUGGCAAAUCUCAGUCUUUUCGGUGACUCCAGACUAGACGAGCGAGGCAGCGAACCGCGCGGCAACCCCAACGAGCGACUCUUGAGCGAACUGCGUACCCCGGGCAGAUUGGUGACGCUUUUCAGCAUACCGAGAUACUUGUUGAGCGCCCGCGAACCACGCCGCUCGGUCCGUUCCUUGGUGCGGCGGGCCCGCGCAUCCGGAUCCUCGCCCACCAACCAGAACGUCCGCUGGUCACCCUUGCCCUUCAUCGGCACCAGGCCCCGCUCCUGGAAGUGAUAGCCGCCGAGCGAGUCGAGGAUCUCUUUGGUCUGUAAGCUGCAGUGGAUCUUGAGCGGCUGUCCGGUCGAUUCCAUGCGCGAUGCCGUAUUGACCGUAUCGCCGAACAGGCAGUACCGGGGCAUCUUUAACCCCACGACACCGGCACAUACCGGUCCGGAAUGGAUACCGAUCCGUAGGAACAGUCGAUCGUUCGGUCGAUGCCGUAUCUUAAACUCGGCGACCGCUUCCAACAGCUGUAGCGACAUUGAAGCAAUCUCGGCCGCAUGUAUCAGUCCGUUCCGGAUCGGCAACCCGGACACGACCAUGUACGCAUCCCCGAUCGUUUCCACCUUGUACACAUCGUAAUGCCCUAUGAUCGAGUCGAAGCACGUGUACAGAUCGUUCAGAAAGUCGACCACCUGCAGCGGUGUGCUUUCCGCCGACAUCGACGUAAAGCCGACGAUGUCGCUAAAGUAAAUCGUCACCAGAUCGUAACUUUCCGCCUCCACCUUAUGGCCACGCUUCAGCUGCUCUGCCACCGGCCGUGGCAGCAUCUCCAGCAGCAGUGCUUCCGUUUUCUUCUUUUCCUCCUGCAGCUGAUCCGUACGCUCGUCAACGAGCUGCUCGAGAUUGUUGGCGUACUUUUCCAUCAUGGCCAUCAUGUUGUCGAAGAUGUUCGGUCGCAUACCCUUCCGCAGGACGCGCAGCUUGUUGCGUAUCGCCUUAAAGUCGGGCCGAUCUUCGGGCCGUUCGGCCCAACAUUCCUUCAAACAUUCGCGCACACAGUCGAACGAUGUUUCGAGCGGUUGGAUUGCGGGUCGGAACGGUGUGUUUGGAUCGAGCGGGUUCAGGACGCGCUUGAGACACUCCAUCGGUGUGCAUUCGAUUUCGCCGAAUGGACCGCGGCGGGUGAAGAUUUCGUACAGUACGAUGCCGAAGGAGUAGACGUCACCUUUCGGUGUGCCCGGCACGGUUGCGGUAGGGCCGGCACGCAAUAGCUCGGGCGCACGGUACAGCAGUUCUGGAAUAAAGAACGUGUAUUUUAAUGAACACCGUUGGCGAAUUGAGAAAUGUGAAUACUGUGUAUUCAAUAAUUUUUCAAUUAAAAAAAUAAUCAACAAUUUCUAUUUCAGACAAGGUUUCGUAUAGUGUAAAUUAUUGAGUUAAAAAACUCCUGGAAGUAUGCAAUUUAAUUUUUUAAAUUACAUAUGCUCGCUAGAUAGCGUUUUGCACCAUGUUGCAUACUUUCAGGCGUGUAAUAAGAUAAUAAAGGAAAGCUCUUCCAGUCUGUGAAAAGUUUCACAAAAAA
Anopheles stephensi (Asian malaria mosquito) is the source of this 3311-nucleotide long non-coding RNA. RefSeq lists it as uncharacterized. The record is from RefSeq and is a predicted model, not a curated record. NCBI's taxonomy places the organism in Eukaryota, Metazoa, Arthropoda, Insecta, Diptera, Culicidae. The transcript is spliced from 3 exons.